RNAcentral lists this ribosomal RNA (253 nucleotides) under uncultured bacterium. Its description in RNAcentral is "partial 16S ribosomal RNA". It matches the Rfam family "Bacterial small subunit ribosomal RNA", at positions 524 to 776 of the family's 1533-position model. The record is from RNAcentral.
UACGGAGGGUGCGAGCGUUGUCCGGAAUCACUGGGCGUAAAGGGCGUGUAGGCGGUUUGUUAAGUCAUGUGUGAAAUCCCUCGGCUCAACCGGGGAACGACGCAUGAAACUGGCAAGCUAGAGUACCAAAGAGGGGGGUGGAAUUCCCGGUGUAGCGGUGAAAUGCGUAGAUAUCAGGAGGAACACCGGUGGUGUAGACGGCUUUCUGGACCGUAACUGACGCUGAGACACGAAAGCGUGGGUAGCAAACAGG